RNAcentral lists this ribosomal RNA (253 nucleotides) under uncultured bacterium. RNAcentral's name for it is "partial 16S ribosomal RNA". It matches the Rfam family "Bacterial small subunit ribosomal RNA", at positions 524 to 776 of the family's 1533-position model. The record is from RNAcentral.
UACGUAGGGGGCUAGCGUUGUCCGGAAUCAUUGGGCGUAAAGCGCGUGUAGGCGGCUCGGUAAGUCCGCUGUGAAAGUCGGGGGCUCAACCCUCGGAUGCCGGUGGAUACUGUCGGGCUAGAGUACGGAAGAGGCGAGUGGAAUUCCUGGUGUAGCGGUGAAAUGCGCAGAUAUCAGGAGGAACACCAAUUGCGAAGGCAGCUCGCUGGGACGUUACUGACGCUGAGGCGCGAAAGCGUGGGGAGCGAACAGG